ACUUAUGUUUUACUUCUCUAAAUCCAAUAAAAAUAGUAUCUCACACUAUUUUUAUUUAUUUUCACUUUUAUAUUAAAGAUCCGGUAUGCUACAUUCCACCGCAGCCUCACCGGAACCAUUUAAAUGGCUUUCCAAUCGAACGUACACCGUAACCUCAUGAUUUUCGAAGUCCGGUACCUUACAUAUGACGUUGGAUAAUCCGGAUUAUUGUUUUGGCGCCCUGCCGAUGAGAGGGUUUUGUGCGCCAACGAAUUGAUUGCCCUUAUUUGUUGUAGAGCGGUUGUGGUUACGG
RNAcentral lists this long non-coding RNA (292 nucleotides) under Ananas comosus (pineapple). RNAcentral describes it as "long non-coding RNA (ACOM_LNC023514)". The record is from RNAcentral. Lineage: Eukaryota; Viridiplantae; Streptophyta; Magnoliopsida; Poales; Bromeliaceae.